GUGCUCACUUCGGCAGCACAUACGCUAAAACUGGAACAUUACAGAGAUUAGCAUGGCCCUUGUGCAAGGAAGACAUGCAAAUUCGUGACGCAUUCCAAAAAAAA
Psammomys obesus (fat sand rat) is the source of this 104-nucleotide small nuclear RNA. NCBI's taxonomy places the organism in Eukaryota, Metazoa, Chordata, Mammalia, Rodentia, Muridae. The record is from RefSeq and is a predicted model, not a curated record.